Molecule: long non-coding RNA, 1493 nt
Organism: Dermacentor silvarum
Lineage: Eukaryota; Metazoa; Arthropoda; Arachnida; Ixodida; Ixodidae
Exons: 5
Source: RefSeq, a predicted model, not a curated record
GUAUUUGCGUUGCGAUGGCAUCAUUCUUCUCGGAGCCGGAGUGAAAUUGAAGUCGCGUGUUUGCAUUAGUUUUUUGAAUUGCUGUUGGGGCUGGGGCUGCGUGAUCGUCACUGGCGUCCUCCAGAGUGCCCACCGAUCGGAAAGUCGUACGAACCGCAAGCUUUGAACGUCUGUUUAUCGCAACAUCGAAAGCGGCGGCACAGAAGACGCGAUGUGAGCUCCGGUGGGAACAGCAGCCCUUUGUCUCGUAACGGUCCCUGACACCGCCUCUCCGACUUCUAAGAGCACACGGGUUUUUCCGGAAUCUUCCAAAAGAUGCUAGAACUUUUCUGAAGACCCCCCGUGGGGCUGUCGAGGAUGUUGCUAUCUCUACAAUAGCCGGAGAAGACGAAACAAGUUUUGCAAUGCACACGGACUGGCUCAGUUGUGAAUGUCACAAAUGCUCCCCUAACGAGGAUCAAAUCAAUGAAAGGAUGGCCUUGAUAAAUAAUAUUCAUGAGGCGAAGAGGAAGUACCCAUACAUGAUGAGCUUUGAGAGGUGACUUUGCAAGACUGACUAAGAUUGACCCAUCACCUUGUAUUGCAAAAGGGAUCAACAAAAUUGUGAAAAUGGCAGAAAUGAAACACAUCCCUUGCGAAGCAAGUGUAAUGGCAUCACUUCAAAAGGCUCGUGAGAUGUCACCGGAGAGGCUGCGAACACGACGACCCGAGCGUUCCUGCAACCUCUUGCAUCGUAUUUUCUGGAGAAGACGUUGAAGAGGCUGACCUCCACAUCAAGGUGGACCGCGAGAUGUUUGCAGUGAAAAAUGGGGAGGAGGGGCUGGCGGCUGUUUUAUCUGCUUACUGGCUCUUCAAUAAUUUCCAGUACGACCGCAAGCUGUUCAACACUCUUCUCGUGUUGGAGCGCCUUUUCCUUGGGCUCACAUUGAGUACCCCUAGAGUAGUGGCUACAAAGUUCUUGAACAAUGUUGCCAAAUGUGUGCCAUGUUUAAUGUGCUGAAGCUGUGCACUGUUACCUCAUCAUGAGUUUAGCUGUAAUUUUCAGAUGCAAGUUUUGUUUUGUCUAACCAUUUCUGCAAUACAUAUGAAGGAAGCCAACAGUCACCGAUAACAAGGCAAGCUUAUGGCAACGCUAUUCGUUUUUUUUAUUUGCAGUGUUAGUAGUUGGAAAUUAUUAGUGUAAUUAUUUUCAGAUGUGGUUAGUUAGGAUCCCACUGGCAGCAUGUGGUUUUCUGCUUUCUGAUCAUUUACCUGUCAGCCAUAAAAUGAUUACACUAACAAUUUUCUAUUGUCAGCACCACAAAUUGUUAAAACUUAGAAGCAUUCUCCAUGUGGGGCGUUCCUUGGUCUCGGUCACUGUUGGCAUUUUUCAUAUGCAUUACAGAAAGGGUUAAACUAUUCAACACUUUCUUAUCUAAAUGUUACAGGUAAACUGUCUUUUGUAUUACAUCAUUAGCUCUUUUUAACUUUCAAUAACUAAGCAAGAUUCUAGU